CCUACGGGAGGCAGCAGUAGGGAAUAUUGCUCAAUGGGGGAAACCCUGAAGCAGCAACGCCGCGUGGAGGAUGAAGGUUUUCGGAUUGUAAACUUCUUUUGUUAGAGAAGAUAAUGACGGUAUCUAACGAAUAAUCACCGGCUAACGCCGUGACAGCCGCCGCGGUCAUACGGAGGGUGCAAGCGUUCCUCGGAAUCACUGGGCGUAAAGAGCGCGUAGGCGGGAUAGCAAGUCAGAUGUGAAAUCCUAUGGCUUAACCAUAGAACUGCAUUUGAUACUGUUAUUCUAGAGUAUGGGAGAGGUAUGUAGAAUUCUGGGUGGAGGGGUAAAAUCCGUAGAGAUCAAGAGGAAUACUCAUUGCGAAGGCGACCUGCUAGAACAUAACUGACGCUGAUGCGCGAAAGCGUGGGGAGCAAACAGGAUUAGAUACCCUGGUAGUC
RNAcentral lists this ribosomal RNA (440 nucleotides) under uncultured bacterium. RNAcentral's name for it is "partial 16S ribosomal RNA". It matches the Rfam family "Bacterial small subunit ribosomal RNA", at positions 338 to 795 of the family's 1533-position model. The record is from RNAcentral.